This 301-nucleotide ribosomal RNA is filed under the name uncultured bacterium. RNAcentral's name for it is "partial 16S ribosomal RNA". It matches the Rfam family "Bacterial small subunit ribosomal RNA", at positions 509 to 807 of the family's 1533-position model. The record is from RNAcentral.
CAGUAGCCGCGGGAAUACAGAGGGUGCAAGCGUUAAUCGGAAUUACUGGGCGUAAAGCGCGCGUAGGUGGUUUGUUAAGUUGGAUGUGAAAUCCCCGGGCUCAACCUGGGAACUGCAUCCAAAACUGGCAAGCUAGAGUAUGGUAGAGGGUGGUGGAAUUUCCUGUGUAGCGGUGAAAUGCGUAGAUAUAGGAAGGAACACCAGUGGCGAAGGCGACCACCUGGACUGAUACUGACACUGAGGUGCGAAAGCGUGGGGAGCAAACAGGAUUAAAUACCCCAGUAGUCCCUGUCUCUUAUAC